AAUAAAUUAGUAUAUAAAUAUAUUUGAUUUCCAAUCAAAAGUAGAUAAAAAUGUUUAUUU
This 60-nucleotide transfer RNA is filed under the name Cheliceroides longipalpis. Its description in RNAcentral is "tRNA-Gly". The record is from RNAcentral. Lineage: Eukaryota; Metazoa; Arthropoda; Arachnida; Araneae; Salticidae.